RNAcentral lists this transfer RNA (90 nucleotides) under Caudoviricetes sp. RNAcentral's name for it is "tRNA-Ser". It matches the Rfam family "tRNA". From Rfam's summary of the family: Transfer RNA (tRNA) molecules are approximately 80 nucleotides in length. The record is from RNAcentral. Lineage: Duplodnaviria; Heunggongvirae; Uroviricota; Caudoviricetes.
GGAUGGGUCGCAUAGGGGGACGAGUGCUCCCGCUUGCUAAGCGGGCGUGCCGCAAAGGCACCGCGGGUUCGAAUCCCGCCCCAUCCGCCA